AACGAACGCUGGCGGCAUGCCUAACACAUGCAAGUCGAACGAGACCUUCGGGUCUAGUGGCGCACGGGUGCGUAACGCGUGGGAACCUGCCCUUAGGUUCGGAAUAACUCCCCGAAAGGGGUGCUAAUACCGGAUAAUGUCUUCCGACCAAAGAUUUAUCGCCUUUGGAUGGGCCCGCGUUGGAUUAGCUAGUUGGUAGGGUAAAAGCCUACCAAGGCGACGAUCCAUAGCUGGUCUGAGAGGAUGGUCAGCCACACUGGGACUGAGACACGGCCCAGACUCCUACGGGAGGCAGCAGUGGGGAAUAUUGGACAAUGGGCGAAAGCCUGAUCCAGCAAUGCCGCGUGAGUGAUGAAGGCCGUAGGGUUGUAAAGCUCUUUUACCCGGGAUGAUAAUGACAGUACCGGGAGAAUAAGCUCCGGCUAACUCCGUG
RNAcentral lists this ribosomal RNA (433 nucleotides) under uncultured bacterium. RNAcentral's name for it is "partial 16S ribosomal RNA". It matches the Rfam family "Bacterial small subunit ribosomal RNA", at positions 29 to 507 of the family's 1533-position model. The record is from RNAcentral.